This 382-nucleotide ribosomal RNA is filed under the name uncultured eukaryote. Its description in RNAcentral is "partial 18S ribosomal RNA". It matches the Rfam family "Eukaryotic small subunit ribosomal RNA", at positions 592 to 976 of the family's 1831-position model. The record is from RNAcentral.
UGUAAGCGUAUACCAAAGUUGUUGCAGUUAAAACGCUCGUAGUCGGAAUUUGGCAGUUCCGGAUGUGUGCACGUCGUGUGCGCACUUCGCGGGGAUUGCUUUUGUGGUCUUGCGUAGGAUGAGGCACUUUUAUUAGUGAACGUCCUCACGCAACCACUUUUUACUGUGAGAAAAUCAGAGUGCUCAAAGCAGGCAUUUGCCGUGAAUGUAUUAGCAUGGAAUAAUAGAAUAGGACUUGGUUCUAUUUUGUUGGUUUGUUGGAACUGAGUAAUGAUUAAGAGGGACAGUUGGGGGCAUUUGUAUUUCGGUGCUAGAGGUGAAAUUCUUAGAUUACCGAAAGACAAACUGCUGCGAAAGCGUCUGCCAAGGAUGUUUUCAUUGA